UACCUAUAAGACUGGGAGUAACUCCGGGAAACCGGGGGCGUAAUACCGGAUAACACAUGAAACCGCAUGGUUUCAUGAUGAAAGACGGUUUUGCUGUCACUUAUAGAUGGACCCGCGGCGUAUUAGCUAGUUGGUAAGGUAACGGCUUACCAAGGCAACGAUACGUAGCCGACCUGAGAGGGUGAUCGGCCACACUGGAACUGAGACACGGUCCAGACUCCUACGGGAGGCAGCAGCC
This 238-nucleotide ribosomal RNA is filed under the name uncultured Staphylococcus sp. RNAcentral describes it as "partial 16S ribosomal RNA". It matches the Rfam family "Bacterial small subunit ribosomal RNA", at positions 127 to 355 of the family's 1533-position model. Lineage: Bacteria; Bacillati; Bacillota; Bacilli; Caryophanales; Staphylococcaceae. The record is from RNAcentral.